RNAcentral lists this ribosomal RNA (246 nucleotides) under uncultured bacterium. RNAcentral describes it as "partial 16S ribosomal RNA". It matches the Rfam family "Bacterial small subunit ribosomal RNA", at positions 113 to 352 of the family's 1533-position model. The record is from RNAcentral.
ACACGUGGGUAACCUGCCUUAUAGUGGGGGAUAGCCUUUCGAAAGGAAGAUUAAUACCGCAUAAGAUUGUAGUAUCGCAUGAUAUAGCAAUUAAAGGAGCAAUUCGCUAUAAGAUGGACCCGCGUCGCAUUAGCUAGUUGGUGAGGUAGUGGCUCACCAAGGCGACGAUGCGUAGCCGACCUGAGAGGGUGAUCGGCCACACUUGGGACUGAGACACGGCCCAGACUCCUACGGGAGGCAGCCAUG